AGUGAACGCUGGCGGCAGGCCUAACACGUGCAAGUCGAGCGGCAGCGCGUCCGACCACCCUCGGGUGGUCGGAUGGCGGCGAGCGGCGGACGGGUGAGGAAUGCAUCGGAAUCUGCCUCGUUGUGGGGGAUAACGUAGGGAAACUUACGCUAAUACCGCAUACGACCUACGGGUGAAAGUGGGGGACCUUCGGGCCUCACGCGAUGAGAUGAGCCGAUGCCGGAUUAGCUAGUUGGCGGGGUAAAGGCCCACCAAGGCGACGAUCCGUAGCUGGUCUGAGAGGAUGAUCAGCCACACUGGAACUGAGACACGGUCCAGACUCCUACGGGAGGCAGCAGUGGGGAAUAUUGGACAAUGGGCGCAAGCCUGAUCCAGCAAUGCCGCGUGUGUGAAGAAGGCCUGCGGGUUGUAAAGCACUUUCGAGUGGGGAAGAACGGGCGAGGGUUAAUACCCUAGCCACUGACGUUACCACAGAAGAAGCUAACCGGCUAACUCCGUA
This 499-nucleotide ribosomal RNA is filed under the name uncultured bacterium. RNAcentral's name for it is "bacterial SSU rRNA". It matches the Rfam family "Bacterial small subunit ribosomal RNA", at positions 30 to 507 of the family's 1533-position model. The record is from RNAcentral.